GACAGAGGAUGCAAGCGUUAUCCGGAAUGAUUGGGCGUAAGCGUCUGUAGGUGGCUUUUUAAGUCCGCCGUCAAAUCCCAGGGCUCAACCCUGGACAGGCGGUGGAAACUACCAAGCUGGAGUACGGUAGGGCAGAGGGAAUUUCCGGUGAGCGUGAAAUGCGUAGAGAUCGAAAGAACACCAACGGCGAAGCACUCUGCUGGCCGACACUGACACUGAGAGACGAAAGCUAGGGGAGCGAAUGGG
Molecule: ribosomal RNA, 246 nt
Filed under: uncultured bacterium
Lineage: Bacteria
Description: partial 16S ribosomal RNA
Rfam family: Bacterial small subunit ribosomal RNA
Source: RNAcentral